This 406-nucleotide ribosomal RNA is filed under the name Chloroflexota bacterium. RNAcentral's name for it is "Chloroflexi bacterium (marine sediment metagenome) partial 23S ribosomal RNA". It matches the Rfam family "Bacterial large subunit ribosomal RNA", at positions 2521 to 2925 of the family's 2925-position model. Lineage: Bacteria; Bacillati; Chloroflexota. The record is from RNAcentral.
GCACCUCGAUGUCGGCUCGUCGCAUCCUGGGGCUGGAGUAGGUCCCAAGGGUUGGGCUGUUCGCCCAUUAAAGCGGUACGCGAGCUGGGUUCAGACCGUCGUGAGACAGGUCGGUCUCUAUCCGCUGCAGGCGCAGGUGAUUUGAGAAGGGUUGCCCCUAGUACGAGAGGACCGGGGUGAACUGACCGCUGGUGUACCGGUUGUUCCGCCAGGAGCAUAGCCGGGUAGCUAAGUUGGGCAAAGAUAACCGCUGAAAGCAUCUAAGUGGGAAACUUGCUUCAAGAUGAGAUCACCCUUCCCGCAAGGGAGUAAGACCGCUGGCAGACUACCAGCUUGAUAGGCGGCCGGUGUAAGCGCAGCAAUGCGUUCAGCCAAGCCGUACUAAUGGUCGAGGGCUUAAUUGCCC